RNAcentral lists this long non-coding RNA (2895 nucleotides) under Daphnia pulex (common water flea). RNAcentral's name for it is "uncharacterized LOC124203757". The record is from RNAcentral. Lineage: Eukaryota; Metazoa; Arthropoda; Branchiopoda; Diplostraca; Daphniidae.
AACAAGUAUCUAACCGUCAAAAACACAAAAAUGAAAGGAGAAAGGGGUUUCCUAAUAAUUCCAUUUAAAAAUGAUAGCGCUGAACACUAGGACAACAACCAGGUCGUAAAUGCAUAACAAGAUAUAUAUAUUUUUUCUCUCUUUUUAUUGAAGUCAAGGCUUUAUGGCACCGUGCCCUUAUAAAGAUAUAGAGCCAUUGAUAAGGGCAGAAAGUCUGCCCCAGACCGACAUUUUCUCGACCCUUAAUGAUCAUCUCUAGAGGGAAUUAUAUAUCUUUGAGGGUGGAAAAUAAGUUAUAAAUAGGAUUUAUAAUCAAUUAUCGUGGGAAUUAGGGCUGGAAAAACCCCACCGGAAAAAACCUUUCCUGUUUAUGAAGAAAUAUCGUUUGGCAACGUAUUUAAAGGUCGUCUGCGCUUUUGUGUUUGUGUCGACUGUCAAACAACUGAUCACGUACUCACAUUCGUCAAUCUAAUCUGUUAAUCUUCUUUAAAAUUAUUGACUUGAGAGAGAACCAACCCUAACUGGAAAUUUUGAAAGUAUUUGGGUUUUAACUUACUUUUCUGAAUUUUUGUGUGUACAUUUACAUUUAUGUUUUUCUGAGUAUAGGUAUAGACAUCUAAAUAGCAUUAAAUUAUAUCUUGGGUUAAGGAUCUGUAAAGUUCUUAUUCUUAUUUCCUUUGAAAUGAAACUCAAACUUAUUGACCUUUGAAGAUUGUAAAACCAAAAGGUUGCAUUCCGAGUAGCCUGUUGAUAAAUAGAUUAUUGGAAGUAAUGUUAAAGGUCAAUGUAGUUUCGCAAAGAAUGUAUUCACAAGAACUGCCCCUUUCACAAUUUCAAACGAGAACAUUUACAAGAUAAUGCAAUACUGAUUAUUCUGGAGAUCGUUGACUGUGCUUUGUGUGAAUGCCAAAAGGUUGCGACUAGGUGAUAAGGAUUACCUCAUAAUAAUUGAGGACGACUAGAGUCCAGAUUCAUUGUGCUGUGCUGUAUAGAUUCACGUUUUGACAAAAUCAUCACGAAACGGGGCUCCUUUCAGUUCGUCGGGAGUGGCAGGGACAAUUCGGACCCAAACAGCGACUCGAUGCUCUAAACUGAGAAAAAGAGCCUUAAGUCUAAUGUCAUGAGAGCAAUCAAUCGAAUCUUCAGUGGGGAUCAGUAUACCUGGGCAAAAGUAUAUUGGACGAUCCAGGUCGCCUCACGCCGUAUUGAAGUUGAACAUUGGCCCAUUUCGUCCCGCAAUUAUUUACGUAACCUUGCAAAUCUAUGCGAUAACCUCCAGAGUUGACAAUGGUGCCAGCGUGUCCAUCAAUGGAGUGACUCGGUUGGAAGGUCUCUUCAAUCACCUGUUUGGCAGUUUUAAUUUCCUUCGCGCUCAAUCUAUGCAAAUGUGUACCUCUGUCCUCGGCCACGAAGAACGUGGUCGUCGAGUCUUCCGCGUUCACUUCCACGUAAACCAUUUUCUUGCUGGCGGAUGGCUCUGCGUUUCGGCGUGUUUUGGCUUUCCUCACCUGGCGGUUGUUGUUGUAGACAAAGUCACGAAAUUGUUGCAGCGGUCCCCCCCACGGCGAUUAUACUUUUCCUCUUCAUGUCGAUUUGAUGAAUGCGAACGCCAGGGCAAUAAAAACGUGCAGACUCAAUCCCCGAUCGUGAGUUUCAUUUAAACCGUAUAGACUUUUUACGCAGAUUAUUAUUCCCCUAGCUCUUAUUAUAACGACUUGUAUAUAUUAUAAAAGACCUCUUCGAUGCUUUUUGGCCAUAACGCGAACGGCUUUAUCACGACCCGCCAGGAUAAUAGUCGGUCGGCAGUCAAUAGAUUUCCUUUGUUAACCGAAUUUGAUGACUUUGAAUUAACAUUUUUGCCAUUUCUCAAGUUGUUUUUAUCUUCAGACGAUUGAACGCACAAAUUUCAACUGGUUUUUUAUCGUCUGGAAAUGCCAUUUCAUGGGGGUCAAAUACCUUGCGCAUCACAAUAAACAGGUAGAUGAUAAGGAAUGAACAAAUAAUUGCCAUGCUGAAAGAAGAUUUGUCAUUCAAACUUUUUGUUGACUGCCACCCAUCGAUAACAAGCCACUAAAGAUCAAGUCAAUCAAUCAAGUAACAAUCUUUUUUGUCUUGGCAGUAUAUUUCUUUUUUCUUUCUUUUUUUUUGAACGUCUGGACAACAUAACAUAAAUAAUUGAAUAUAGUAUUUCGAUCAUCGGGUUGGUUACUUUGAUUUGUUAUAUUAUUAUUUUUCUUUUCCCCAUUGUUCUCUCAAAUCACACGGACAGUCUAGUUUUAAAAGCCCACAGCAGUUAGUUGAAUUAUUAUUCUUUUUCGUUUCGGUAUUUUCGACUGUUGUGGUGUACAAAAGCAAAACAACAAAUUUCAUUCCGAUAUAAAGUGAAAUCUUUUGCUUUCAACACAAAAAAAAACACAAAAAUGUAAUUUUUUAGAUCUAGGAUUUUACACUGACUAAGUGGGACUGUAAUUAUCGUAAAGAUGUGUGUCACACCAAUUUCUUUCUCUCGACAAAAAGCCAUCGAAAAUCGUGGGUAAAAAUUUGAUUUUUGUAAAGAGGGGAAAGCGGAGGGAAAAAAAAAGAAUUUUUUGAUAGCAAACUACACAGCACACACGCGGCAACAAAAUUGUGGGAGGGAAAAUAAUAAAAACUUUUUUUUUUUGGUUUGGGAAACGACCCAAAUAAUUUUUUGAAAAGAAAAAGAGAAAAAAUUAGGGGAGGAAGCGCCAUUUGUUUUUUUAAAAGGAACUGGGUAUUAUUAUUUAAUAUAGAAUAAUAGAAAGAUUAUAAAGACACAACGUCCGAUCACAAUCGUAAUGGGACGUAUCCAUUUGUUGGUGGUAUUGACUAAAAAAUAAUAAAAUCGCAUAUAGUAUUUUUGUUUCCCCCUUUCUU